RNAcentral lists this ribosomal RNA (393 nucleotides) under uncultured bacterium. Its description in RNAcentral is "partial 16S ribosomal RNA". It matches the Rfam family "Bacterial small subunit ribosomal RNA", at positions 523 to 918 of the family's 1533-position model. The record is from RNAcentral.
AUACGGAGGAUGCGAGCGUUAUCCGGAUUUAUUGGGUUUAAAGGGUGCGUAGGCGGUUUGUCAAGUCAGCGGUGAAACGCAAGGGCUUAACCCUUGACCUGCCGUUGAAACUGAUUGACUAGAAUGCGGAUGCUGUGGGAGGAAUGUGUGGUGUAGCGGUGAAAUGCAUAGAUAUCACACAGAACACCGAUUGCGAAGGCAUCUCACAAAUCCGUGAAUGACGCUGAGGCACGAAAGUGUGGGGAUCAAACAGGAUUAGAUACCCUGGUAGUCCACACUGUAAACGAUGAUAACUCGCUGUCGGCGAUACACAGUCGGUGGCCAAGCGAAAGCGAUAAGUUAUCCACCUGGGGAGUACGACCGCAAGGUUGAAACUCAAAGGAAUUGACGGGG